This 334-nucleotide unclassified non-coding RNA is filed under the name soil metagenome. RNAcentral's name for it is "partial contains 5.8S ribosomal RNA, internal transcribed spacer 2, and large subunit ribosomal RNA". The stretch from base 1 to 120 matches the Rfam family "5.8S ribosomal RNA", at positions 35 to 154 of the family's 154-position model. The record is from RNAcentral.
GAUGAAGAACGCAGCCAAAUGCGAUAAGUAAUAUGAAUUGCAGAAUUCAGUGAAUCAUCGAAUCUUUGAACGCACAUUGCGCCCGCCAGCACUCUGGCGGGCAUGCCUGUUCGAGCGUCAUUUCAACCAUCAAGCCCCAGGCUUGCGUUGGAGCCCUGCGGCUGCCGCAGCCUCCUAAAAGCAGUGGCGGGCUCGCUAUCACACCGAGUGCAGUAGAUUACUCUUCGCUCAGGGCGUGCAGCGGGUUCCGGCCGUGAAACCCCCUACUUUUAAAGGUUGACCUCGGAUCAGGUAGGAAUACCCGCUGAACUUAAGCAUAUCAAUAAGCGGAGGA